AACCCAAUGGACCCAUAACGGGUGUCCGUGUUGGGCCUCGCCCCCGGUUCGUGGGCGUCGCCUCGAAGGAAUCGGUCGAGGGCGGACGGAUGAGAUCCAUUAGGACCGACCGUCUGACCCGACCCACAAAGCUAUGA
RNAcentral lists this unclassified non-coding RNA (137 nucleotides) under uncultured Archaeorhizomyces. RNAcentral describes it as "partial internal transcribed spacer 2". The record is from RNAcentral. Lineage: Eukaryota; Fungi; Ascomycota; Archaeorhizomycetes; Archaeorhizomycetales; Archaeorhizomycetaceae.